Molecule: ribosomal RNA, 253 nt
Filed under: uncultured bacterium
Lineage: Bacteria
Description: partial 16S ribosomal RNA
Rfam family: Bacterial small subunit ribosomal RNA
Source: RNAcentral
UACGAAGGGGGCUAGCGUUGUUCGGAAUUACUGGGCGUAAAGCGCGCGCAGGCGGUCUUCCAAGUCAGUGGUGAAAGCCCGGAGCUCAACUCCGGAACUGCCAUUGAAACUGUUGGACUUGAGUACGAGAGAGGUGAGUGGAAUUCCCAGUGUAGAGGUGAAAUUCGUAGAUAUUGGGAAGAACACCAAAGGCGAAAGCACUCUGCUGGGCCAUAACUGACACUGAGAGACGAAAGCGAGGGGAGCAAAAGGG